Molecule: ribosomal RNA, 261 nt
Filed under: Bacillus sp. RN2
Lineage: Bacteria; Bacillati; Bacillota; Bacilli; Caryophanales; Bacillaceae
Description: partial 16S ribosomal RNA
Rfam family: Bacterial small subunit ribosomal RNA
Source: RNAcentral
ACGGGUGAGUAACACGUGGGUAACCUGCCUGUAAGACUGGGAUAACUCCGGGUAAACCGGGGCUAAUACCGGGAUGCUUGAUUGAACCGCAUGGUUCCAUCCUUAAAGGGGGCUUUUGGCUUCCCCUUUCCGAUGGGCCCCCGGCGCAUUUACUAGUUGGGGAGGUAACCGCUCCCCCAGGGGACCAUUCCUAACCCAACUGAAAGGGUGAUCCGCCCCCCUGGGACUGAAACCCCGCCCCAAAUCCUUCGGGAGGGAGCA